UUGUAGAAGGUUGCCGAGGAAAGGCAGAGCCCGGGGCCCGGGAGGGUAGUUGCCACACUUCUUCCACCUCUUCAUCAAGUCAAAGGCCAGGGCAAAGACGGUGCAGAACACGGCCAGCGCCGGGAACCCGCCAAACACCCUGAGCACGACCCCGGGGAGAGCCGAGAACUCCAUGUUCACCGGAGAUAACGAGCGGCAAACUCACUGUGAGCGGAGAGAGGCGAGUGGAUGCCAGGAAACUUCACUGGGAGACGCCCCCACUGACCCCUUCUCUCUCACGCAGACAUUGCACAUUGACGUCCAGAUGUGGCUGUUGUGUGCGGUGGGUGUUGGAGCAGAUAUCAGAUCAAACACAACCUGCUCCUUCCCUUCACAGCCCGUGGUCUCUGGUCCAGUGGGCGGGGCGAGCCUGACCCAGAAUCGAUCCCUUGCCUGGGAUCGCUCCAAACGCGGCCUGCGGACAUUACCAUCAUUAGCUCGCAUUCUCGGGAAAGGCUAGUCGGGAGCUCCAAUGACGCAGAGAUUUGACGAGGGUCCGUUCGCCGACACAGAGAGCUGAUAUCCCCCCGAUGCACCAGCUUAUCACCCAGACACGGAGGGCCCAAACAACGCCGGCUACGGGAGUCAAGACCGUCCCGUCAACGGAGGGCUCGAGGCCCCCGACCACGGUAGAGCAAAGAAGGGAAGAAAUUUGAACACUAUUUUUCGCCUUCCUUCACAGUGAGGAAUGUGGAGGAGUCACUGUGGUGGAUGUUUAAGUUCAAAUAUAUUUUGUGUUUUCUGCUGCUUUUUAUUUGUAGAACUGACUUGGCAAAUUAAGUUUCUCAUAUGUUGCAAAACAUACUUGACUAAUAAAGUAUUAUUGUGGUUGUGAUUGUGAAAAAUACCCAAUAACUGUAAAGAAGUCUCAACAACA
This is a long non-coding RNA of Leucoraja erinaceus (little skate), 916 nucleotides long. RefSeq lists it as uncharacterized. The transcript is spliced from 2 exons. The record is from RefSeq and is a predicted model, not a curated record. NCBI's taxonomy places the organism in Eukaryota, Metazoa, Chordata, Chondrichthyes, Rajiformes, Rajidae.